Long non-coding RNA from Coturnix japonica (Japanese quail), 10901 nucleotides. RefSeq lists it as uncharacterized. Lineage: Eukaryota; Metazoa; Chordata; Aves; Galliformes; Phasianidae. The record is from RefSeq and is a predicted model, not a curated record.
GCUUCAUGAUCCUUGAAGUCCCUUCCAACCUGAGCCAUUCUGUGAUUCUGCGAGAUAGUGGGGCACAGUAUAACUGUAAUUAAUAAUAAAAAAACACCCCUAUUUUUGUUGUUCAGGAGGCAUUUCUUACAGUUUAACCUGCAGGGUUUAGCCUCUGACAGCACUGAUUGGCUUGCAAAGACUCUUUCUUGUAUUCUGAUAUUCUGGAGGAAGUGUAUUGGAAGAGACAGAGAGGGAACAAAUGAGGCAGCAGCGCCAUGCUGACUAAUUGGGUGUAUCUGCAAACAGCAAAGAACCCCAGCACUGCAGUCAUGAAAAUUCUCAAAGCCUGGAGAUCUAAACGAUGUCGGCAGCUGGGAAAGGAAGCUGCAAAAAGGGAGAACUCCUUAAAAACAUUUUGAUUACGGAUGCACACAUCCCAUUUAAAAGCAAAACAAAGAAACCCAGAGCUGUAGCUCAAAGCGCCUUCCUGAUUCCCACACAGCUUACUGAGCACAUAACACACACAUCCCACUGCCCAGAUAAACCACCCUGAGAGAGCAGGGCUGCUGUGCAGGUUUGCAGGCCGUGUGUCACACAGUGCUCAGCGGACCAUCACUUGAGGCCCCGUGCUCCUGCUGGGCUCAUGGGGACUGCAGGGAGCUCGGUUUCUCUAUUACUGUCAUUUGUUGACAUCAAGGACUAGGGGUUAGAAAAGAUGUUAUUUCUGGGACUCAACCAAAUGCUGCUUUAUUGGCAGCUGCCUUCUGUUUAGUUGCUUCUUUGUAAAGGGAAGAAUAUUGUCUUUGUAGCUCUUUGUGGCUUAUGUUUUGGCUGCACAUCAGAUCUGGCAGCAAAAGGACCAGUUUAACGCCCUUUGAAUGAAAUGCAGGUAGCCCAUUGUCCCCUGCUCUUCCAUUCACGCUCAAUGACGUUUUACUUACCCUUGGCUGCAGGAAAUUCAAUGUCUUGGGGGUACUGUGGAAAGGCAGAUUCAGGACAUGUCAGUUGAGCUAUGAUAGGAAGCUGUUGUUUUCCUUUUCUGAUAUGUACCAGGUGGAUGGGCUCUGUAACCAGGGGUAGGGCUGCUUGGGCUGUUCUGGUUGUUUGAAGUGUAGCAGAGAGGGAGAGCCUGUUUGUCUUCUUGUAGAUGCUGUGGAAGGAUGAGGACCUUGCACCUUCUGUCAGUACUAGAUUAUAUUCUCAGUUUGGGAAGCCUUGCAGAGGAAAAGAAGAGCAGAGACAUGGAGGGAGUCUCCAGCAGAAGAGACAAGAGUCCCUCCCCUUUCCAUAAAGACAAAGUGAGGAGGGAAAAAGGCUUUGCUUUAAAAUUUUACUACUGGCUGCUGUUCUAAGCACAGCUCAGGUUUUGGUCUCUGUUUAAGGAGAGGGCUCAUUUUAGAACCUGGUAAACUAGAACAUACUUUGGUUCGGUUUCUUGGGGUAUUCUGAUGUGCUCUGAAGCACCGUGACACAGUUACAUAACGCUGUGCAUUUAAUUUGUCUGCAGAAUUGUUAUUAGCAGCAUCAGACUAAAAGUUUUCUUGGAGAGUGUCACCUGCAAUCUGCUGCAAAAUCAUUUUCAUGGCAUUGAGGUGUUUGGUGUUUCUUUCUUGAGGUUUUCGCUAACAGCCCAAACAUUUACAAGCCUGUGAUACCGUGGCAUUUCCAAAGAGACUUUUAAGUGCCAGUGGAAAGGGAAGGAAUCUCAGUGGUCAAAAUGAAGAAGCUACUAGAUUAUGUAGGAACAAGUUUCAUUGCAGUCAGAUACCAGAAGUCUUUAUGUUAUGCGUUUGAUGCUUCUCUUACUUCUCAGCUUUACUUCUCAGCUCUAAAUGCUGCAGUUCACUACAUUUCAUCCAUCAAUCAUUAGAUAAAUCUAGAUGUGAAACUAGUUUGCUAUCGAGGAGCUGGGCUAUGGAAGGGGAGAUAUCCAUGGGAGCUGGAGGAGAAUUUCUGCUUUCAAAACUUAAAUGGAAGAAAAGUCCUUUAAACCCUGACCUUGAGCUCCUGGAUUUCCUUUGUUCAUGUUCUCUUCUAGGAGCCACAUACUGGCUUUAUUUACACUCAGUGAAAUGAAUCAAUGUGUGACUCUCCUACACACAGGCAUAUGCUAAUUUCUGGUUGAAAUGGUUUUUUAUUUGUGUGUGUGUGUUAUUCUGCUACCAAUACUGUCAGAGGGUUUCUGAGUAGUCUGUAUUUAUUUAAUGCUUUUUAAAGUAUUUUGGUGCUUUACAAAUGUACUUACAUGCUUUGACUGCAUUCCCAAAGGACAGAUGCCUUGGGAGGAAAUAUAGACGCAUAUCAUAGAAUCAUAGAAUGGCCUGGGUUGAAAAGGACCACAAUGAUCAUCUCGUUUCAACUCCCCUCUACAUGCAGGGCUGCCAGCCACCAGACCAGGCUGCACAGAGUCACAACCAGCCUGGCCCAAAUCACCUCUUAGUGUGAGAAGGAGAACAGCACUUCAGCUAACCCUAAGGACUCUAAUGGCUUGGAGAAGCUGGUCUGAUGUACAGAGACCCCAUCUAGUGACCUGUCCUUUUAGAAAUCAUACACAUCUAUUUCCCAUGUCUUGUGAAUAUCAAAUACUGAGCCAAAGCAUUAGUUCAGCAUGGAGGCAGAUAAGUUGUGUCACAUCUUGGCACUGGGCGAUCACUGAUGCAGGGCCCAUCCUAUGCUUGACUUGGAUUAGCAGGGUGUAACCUAUGAAAUAAUAUGGCCCUGGGCUCCUAUUGAGCAGGAAGAGACUAAAAGUGUGGUAAAGAGAUCUGCUGUUUCUGUUCGUGGGAAAUGGGUUUAUCUAUCGUCAUGUACCUACAGGUUGGGUCACUAAUUAAAGCUGGCUUCUGCAGGAAGCUCUGCCUCCCAGAUGAAAAAAUGGGCGCUGUCAGUUCACUGAAUCAACAGAGUUCAGCUGUGUUCUGCCUCCAGCCUGGCCUCCUGCAGGGGCUGAUCCCCUCUCGUCCUAAAAAGCAGCCAAGCAUUGCCUUUGUUGGAUGCCAGGAGGAUGUCCCACCCAAGUCAUCAUCCCCUUCCACCUGCACCAAGUCACUGAGUGCUAUUGACCACAUGGCCACUGUUGGCAUGUUGGACUAAAGGUGGUGGUGUGUAUGAAGGCUUGUGUGGGACACAUGUGUCCCUUUACUGACCUUUGCUUGCCAACUAUUCAGUCUGUCACCUGUGUGAGUGAGACCACGCUGUGUGUUUCCUACUCCUGAUGCAGCUCUGAGAAGACCAGCUUCCACAUCCUCAAGGUAGGGUUUUUUCCCCUGUGUUUGUCUAAGUCUUAGUUAGUGGCUCCUCACCAACACAAAACACGUUGUUAUGCUUUCUCUGCAAUACCUACACACCACCAAAGAGAUGUCACACAAAGCCUGGUUAGAAUAGUUUGUGCUGUGCAGUUGAUCUGCUGUGUAUCUGCUGUGAACCUUUCAAGUUCUGCCGCCUUCAUCACUCCAGGAGCUGGCAUGCAGUGAACUGCUACUGCCCAGUUGUGCUGGCACAGGUAGGGGCCCAGCAGUCACAAGCAGCAGACACCAUUAUUUGCAAGCAGCGAUGCAGGAAGAACGUGCUUCUGGCUGAAACGAGCAAAUCAUUUGUUAAUCUCUUCAAAUGCAGACUAUUUACCUGCUAGCUUGAAGUUAACGUGCUAGUGGAGUAUGUGCAGGGCAGCAUACACAGGUUCAUGGGCAGAAAUCGCUGCUUCUCACUUCUCUGUUUUUCUCUGCUUGCGGGGAUUCAGUUUCUUAUUUACAUGCUUUCAAAUAGAGGACACAAAUUAGCUGUUCUACAACUAAUGCUGUCAUUCUUCUUACAUGCUUUGGAAUAGCAGUACUCGAGUACUCCUCCUGUGCAGUAUCCACAAGCAGUUAUUCACAGUUAAGCCCUCUAAGAUAGAAAAUUGCACCAAGAAAUCCAUAAGCAAUAAGAACAGCAAGGGUCAGUCUGCCUUACUGUGAAGAAUGACAUGGUGCGGGAUGCCUGUCACCUUUUGUUCCUUCUCCUGUUAAAGCCUCAGCCUCGGCUCCCCGUGUGCUCUCAGUGAAACCAGAAGGGUUGGAUUCAAAAUACACUUCAGUCCUAGAAUUACAUUUUGCUGCCUUCUACAAAAACCCGUGUAAUCUUUAUGGUUUUUUCAGCUCCAUCCGACAGGUUUUCUUUUCAGACUGCUCUCAAAAUAAGAGCUCUUCCUUACUCCAGAAAGGUGCUACAAGUUGGCUACAGAAAUCCAGACCGCGGUGAUGUUAAGUGACCAAGUGAAGGCUGGUAUGAAACAAAAGGUCAGUGCUGCACAAAGCUUCCUGCCUUGCUGGAUGUAUGCAAAUUGCACCGGGCUAACAAGUUUCAGUGCCUGUGAACUGACACAAGUUCCUUAGGCUGUUUAAUUUCCUCUCUGCUAUCAAGCAAAUGCUGGUGAAACCCCCCCAGAAUGCACAAUUCAGUCACAGACCAGCACUGUCAUCUUUAACACACUGUAACUCUUUAUAAACAGCUUUAUUGUUUCACACAACAAAAGUGAUUAGAAAGAGCAGGUACAAUAUACAACUUGGUUGCUUUGGGAUGUGCAGGCGGUCGGUCCUGUGAAUCCUGAGAUGUUGCAGGGUUUGGGAUCCGGGCACAGAGCACUGCUGCAGCUGUGGAGCAAGUGGGCGAUUCCUGCACGUGCACAGCUGAGGCAGUGGAAUUGGCUUUACCUUCAUCAUCCAGACCAAGAACAGCCAAGGCAAGGAGCUGGUUCCGACUGACAGGGUAUGUUUGCUGUGGGUCCACCUUACCCGAGGUGUCCGUGUGGGUCAGCAGUUGUUCAGUAGUUGUGGCAGUUGAGAAUUGCUUCCAUGAAGCUCAAUGUAAAGAAACCAAACAAACCCACAGUAUCACGUUGUGCUGAUACUUUUGAAUCCAUAUUACCUAGCAAAUGAGUGAGGACUUUAUAUUUUACCUAUAGAAUAAUAACAUUAGGAUAACUAACAGAAGAAAUAAAGGUAGAACAGACAAAAAAAGUGUAUCUUUGGAUGCUCGAUCCAUACUGAUGUCCUGUACCUGCAGGGUGCUACCAAACACUGCCUGCGUGUCUCUAGAGGCUGUAGCAUCCACGUAGCCUUUGGGUUCCUUGUACUGAUGAAGUCCACAAAGAAAGAUUUGUGUGCAUAUGGCGUAUGAAAGUACCUGUUUGGAACUAUGAUGGCAAGACCCGAGGCUGAAAAUCAAAACCAGAAAACACAAAGUGAGCAGCGCAACUUGAAGGCACCUGCAGAAUUCACAAGUAAGUGCUGUUUAACUGACAAGUACCUUCAUUUAUAUAACCAUGGAAGGUAAUGAAGGAGAAGCUCUGCAUGCAGACGGAAUGAAGGUAACACCUCUGGCUAUCGUGCACACCAGGCAGACUAGCCAAAGAAGCAGGACUUACACAAGUCUGAUACAGGCUGCUCGGUUCAAACACUUCUAGCCAGCCAUCGUUUUAAACUUUAAUGCAGACUGGAACAGUUGUGCUCACCAACAGAGGAUAAUUUAAUAUUUAGCUUAUUCCUGGAGCUCAUCAUCUUCAGCUCCUGCUGCUGCAGCUGGGCUCCAGAAACAGGUCUGCUUAAAGCUCACAGGAAUCUAAAGCAAAUGCAGUGUAGUUGGAACGCUGCAGAAGAAAAGAAGUAAAAGAAAGAUGAGCUAUUGUCGGAGUUAAGAAUAAAUUCUAAAUUCAGCUUAUCUAGCAAAGGGCUCAGACUUUUCUCUUCUGCCUCAUCCAAGGAAGUCUUGCACUUGUUCCUUGGAAAAGCAGAGAUGAGAGGAAGCAUUUCAGGAGUUAUCGGUGAACCUUUUUGCUGUUUUUUUUAAUGCAGAAAUGCUGAUCAUGCAGACUUUCCUCUCCAAAGAUGAUAAAAUGCCGUAGGUUGUUUGUUUGAAAGGACUGCUUCUUUACUCCAAACAGACCCCAAAUACCUUAAGAGGAACACAAACAAGAUUUCAAGUGUUGUGAGAACCCAGAAGAGAUGUACUUCUGGUGCUGCAUUUCAGACUGAGGGAUGCUUUGCUUUCAGAGAAGCCGACCAAGUGUUUCAUGCUCUGGUCAGUGCGAUCGCUGAGCUCCCUGGGCACAGCUGCAGGGGGAAGGAAGGAGCCUUUGGCAACUCGGAAAAGAAUGAAAGGGAUGAAGCAGCCAGGAAACAGUGGGCACCAUCUUUUGUCCUCUUGUGUAAAGGGAGAGGCAAUGGACAAGAGUCCAUCUCUGUAAUUCUAUUCUCAUUACUUACACAGUCCCUGUGCUGAGCUGCAAGUUAUUAACUCAGCAUCCUAUUGCAUGGUAUGAGCUUUGCACAACCACAGCAGAAAGCAGUAGUCUGCUUAUGGUUAUACCAUUGCCAUGAACGCUUGCUACUAUCUGAAGAAGAAAACCCUUCUGUUAGAGGGUGCAAUCACUUUUAAGAACUAUCUGUGAUUAUAGUGAUCUUCUCCACUCUAUUCAGAUGCACAUACUGAAUUUGCAGUUGUUUACUGUUAGUCUUAUAAGGUUCCGCUCACUGUUCUUUCAAAGAAAAUAGCUGCAUUUUGUGAAACAGGUAGGUCCUGUAGCAAAAUCUGUUAUGACUAAAUAAUCCUGUUUCAUUGCUUCACAUAUAAAUCUGUUUCAGAAUUGACACAGAUGAAUUCCAAACAGGUAUAUUCACAGAGGCUGAGCAAAGCAGUUUUCUGUAGGUAUUAAGGUAAGACAGUUGGUACAGUUUGGCAAGUCAUCAUUUGCCUCUUUACCAUUUUGUGUUCUGAGGUGACUUGAAGAAGGCGGUGGAUGUGCUCAGUACACAGCUGUCAGCGUGCAGCCUCUGCCUCCUGCUUUCAUGCCUUCUUUCCUCCUGACUCAACUUCACAUUGCAGGAUGAAGCACAGAGAGUUUAUGGGAAACUGUAUAUGAACAAUAUAAUAAAACUAUGGUGGGUUUGGACUAUGGUGUGUUUUUUCCCUUCAGAGGUUUCCAGAACAGCAUAACAUCCAGGACAAGUGAAAUGAUGUCUGCAUGAAGCUUCAGUUCGUGACAAAACAGCCUGUCACUGCAGUAAAAAGCACAGGGAGGUUAUCACUUUUACAGCCCAACAUCCAACUUUUAGUCUCCUUAAAGCAAGGUGUGGGGAGGGGGGGGGCGACUUCCAAAGGAACAAAGCUGGCACCUUCUUUUCUGUGGUGUAUACCGAGAACCCAAGAAGAAAAACCAUUCAAUCCAAACUACUUGACCAGCUGCACACACUGACACCUCAAUGAAAAGGAAAAAUGAAUAAAGAGUAGAAGGAGAUGGAAAACAUAUCCUUGUGACUGCUGGCUGCAAGAGCUUUUAUUCAAGAGUGGCUCUUAGCAGCACUGUUACAGUUUGUUUUCUUCGAAAAGCUGCACAUAAACCCACUGCUGCACAAGUUUGCCACAUAAAACUCGCACUGCAAGUAUUCUCCAAGUUUAAUCUUAGUCACUCUCCUUUCCAGUGUGGACCUCCAUAAAGUAUACACAGAGGCAUUCUCACGUAAGGUUCUGAGCUGCUUAUACUACAACUGUACCUUCAUACAGCAGUUCUGCCACAGCAGCUUUUGUGUUGAGCCGCUGCUUAAUGCUUACGCUGCUUUUGUUUCAGGAGGAGGAUUAUAACCAGGUAUUUAAGUGAUGAAAUAAACAUCUGGUGCCAGUAAACACAGUUCAUUUUAAACAGCGUCAUCUAAAAACGUUUCCAUUUGUUUUCUAUGUUUAAAAGUACCCGGGAGCAUACAAAAUUAUUUCCAGCGCAAAUUAGCUCCCAUCUCUCUGUGACAUUAAGAGAUUACUUCAAUUAGACCCUCUCUUUGCUGCUCCGCUGACGACUGACUGCAGUAACUACAAUAUGACAAGGAGAUUAUCAAUUCAUUUGUCUGGGCUCUUCUAACUGUGUGCAUCAUGCAGGCAGUGCGAAUGGGUGCUGUCAGUUAUUGCGCUGGUGCAAUUCUUAAGGCGCCAUUAAUAGCAGUUUUCUUCCGCGGUGAGUCUUUGUACCGAUACAGUCACUGUCAGUUAAAAAAUAUGUUCUUACACCUUGGAGAUUUUUAUACACCUUGUAGCACACCCACAGAAGGAACUGCAAUGACUGCAACGCAAACAGAGCAACACAAUGAGUUGAACAUAAACAGGCUGUUGUAUUCAAGAAGCCAAUGGAUCGCAGACAUGCCAAAAGAAGAAAAUCAUGCAAGAUUUGAACCUAUUCAUCACACUCCAAUGGAGUAGAUAAAAAGUACUUAGUAUUACUUUUGGACCACUAUAUUUGCACCAGGGCUCUCCUAGGGUGCUGCCUGUGCACUACUGAAGAGCAGCUCAAGUUCUCUCAUUUAACAGCCACAUCACUUCUCGCUCAAGACACAAAACUGACUCAAAACAGAAAUCAGGUGUAAUUAAGGACAGGAUGUUGUCACAACCUUCCCAGGCAAUUCUUAUUUUUCCUCAAAGCCUCAGCUUGCACCCAGCAAUAGGUUUGACACUUGGAAACAGGGAAGCGCUGUAUUACCCAACUUACCUUUCCUACAACACAGCCAUGUUGUGCAAGGAUCACACAGUUUGCUUGAGGAAAUAACAGGUGUGCAUGCUCUAGGAAUGAAGCACAGUUUCAAUUCCAAACAAUUUUCAAAGCUGUUUUAAGUAAUCACCUUGUCGUUCUCUCCUCCUCUUUAGUGCUGGUCUAUUAGCUUUGUGCUUCUAACUUCUAAAUGAUUAAGAAUCAACAGCUCUUCCUCGAGUCUUCCAAAGAGUUGUACAGCAACUGCAUGAGCAGAAGUUGUUCAAAUGCAUGAAAGAACACUGAGGACAUUUUACAACCCCUGUGGCAGCGGCAGGGUGCACGGUCCGCACCUGACUCACGCAGCAGCACAACCAACCUGGACUUCUCAUCUGACUUCAAAAUUAAACCGACCAAUUGUCAGGCUACAGGAUAUUGAGCCGGAUUUGCAUGCAAACAAAAUCUCUAAGUGAGCUGGAAUGAAGGAAAAAACACAAUUCUCCCCUUUUGGAACGGCAGAAAAUACUGACUGCCUUCCACCAACCGUGAAUGCAGCUCUAAGUUACUGGCUUAACGUUGGUAUUAUCCCCACUCAGAUAUUUCUUACAUGAGCUUGCAGCAGGUUUACAGUGCAAAAUACCCAGACCUGUUGGAAUAGGCAGAAAGGAAUUCAAACUUUAAUCUGAUUGGUUUAAUUUUUUUUUUUUUUUAGCAGGAGGAAAAAGAAUAAAGUUACAAGAUUCUUUUAAUAUUUUCACAAUGUUAAACUAAAACUGAGCUCUAGGCUACAUGUGUAAGUAAAUCUAGAACACAAAAGGGUUAAAUAAGAUCUUCUUUUAAGAUACAAGAACUUAAGCUUUCUUUACGCUUAACAAACUUCACAGAACAGAUACUGCAAAGGAACAACCCCGUCCCCAACUUCUUUGUUUAAAGUGAACAUUGUCCAUAAUUCACACGAACUUUUACGUAGCGUCCUCGCGAGAGCCACCUUGAAACCAUCUGUGCACUUGCAAUGAGUUUAAAGAGAACGUUAAGGAGGAACAAAAUAGCAUCUUCAGUAUUAAUGCAGAGAAGUCUCGCGUGUCAUUCAGAAUGCCCAUCAAAUGCUAUGAACAGGGUUUUGUAGGAAAAGAAAGUGCGUAUCACAGCAGCAGCUGGAAUCCAUGCUUUUAGAAACUCUUCACAGCAAAUAUAAAUCAUAUCCUCGGACGGCCCCUUUCAGCUGGACCGCUUCCUGAAAACGCAGCACUUUACUGAAGGUUUUGCUGCUGGCUUCGUAUUCUUGAAUAAUAACUAUAAUAACAAUAAACAAUAAAAAUAAAAAUCACUCGCCUUUUGGGUAGCUUGCGUGUUAUAGCGAUGGGACACUUCUGAUUUGCUUCCUGGCUAACUUACGCUAAUACAGUCAGAUGCCGAACGUGUGGGUGGAGAUAUGUUUAAAUUUUUCUUUUUAAAUCAGUUAUCUCCUUGUUAAAUGCUUCUACCGGAGUAACAACGUGACUCGGCCUAUGAGGAGUUAGUUACCUGCACCAAGUGGAAUGGAGGAUGACUCAUCCGAGCGUUCUCCCGCCACGCUGGGGUUUUCCAAGUGAUGGUUACUUCACCUCUCUGAUGUUUUCUCUACCUGCCCGGUAUUUCAAAAUGAGACAAAAUCUUUUCCCUCCCUCAGAUUUUCUUACAGAUGUACCUGAUCGUUACCAUUCGCCUGGGAUUAAGCUGGGUCACUCCAGUACAAAUCCUUUUUACUUGCAUUAAGCCCUGUGUGCAGCAGGAGACGUGCUGAAUAUUCUUUUUGCUUUUUGUUCACAAACUGACGAGACCGGUGCCAUUCGGUUCAGCUCAGUGUGACAUACCGUAAUACAGACCCACAGGUCUAAACAGAGCCCAAGCAUUCUACUCCAUGUGAUGCUUUUCAUGUUCACUUUCUAUACCGUCUUUGCAAUAGAUUCGGGCAGAGAUGUUUGUGAGAGCGUUCAGCUGCAUAGAGACAGGGCUGGUGUAACCCAUGUGAUUAUCUCAUUGACACUCUGAUGUGAGGAAAACAAGCUCAAUCUGAUUCAGGGUGUUUCACUGGUUGUUCCCCAAUACUGUUACUGAAUUCCGUUUGCUACAAAAUGUCCUUUUUUUUCCCCCCAAUAUAUAAGUCUAGCUACAGAAAGUCAGUCUGUAGAAUCCAGCCAUGGCUACUGUGCUGUGAAUUAGCCUUAUUUGAUCAAUUAUCAGAUACCUGCACUUAGCAAAAGGCAAACAAGAGCCAAUCAGGUUUCGGCCGGUGGGAAUGGCUGCACCAUUCUGUGGUGGGUCUGUGCAAUCUUCACAUGACCCUCAGAAUCUCUGUGGAUGCUAUGUAAAAUGUAUGCACCAUUUACUGCUCUGGGAUGGAGUUGGCUUUAAAGUGUGAUCUUAAUUUAACUGAGGAAGAAAAAAAAAA